CAGGAGCUGGUGGAGGUGAUCUCGAGGCCCUGGAGGGGGGACAGGAGAGAGACGCUUAACCCCGGGGUACUUUCGUCUGCUCCAGAUGCAGCUGGCAGCAGGGCGGGAGGCUGAGCCGGGGGGGCGGCUGCUGACCCCCCUGGCCCUGCUGCUGGCGGCUGCCGGGCUCUGCCUCUCCUUCUACAGCACCCGGAGGAUGGCCGGCCCCGCCAAGGCCCCCCCAGAGCCAUGAGGAGGGGGCUGGCAGGGCUUGUCCCCAGGGGGGUGCCGGGGUCCCCCUCUGCCCGCUGACCCCCCCUUAGCAGAGCUGCCAGCUGCGGCAACUUUCCAACUGAUCUGCGCCACAUCCAGCCCUUCCCUCCAUGCCUGGGCGGUGCAGUGCCCUGAGGCCAGGGUACACGCACCUCUGUCCCCCUGUCUGUCCCUGCAUUCGGGAGCCGAUUCAACGACCAGGAUGGAGAACAGAGAAGCCACCUCCCAGCUCCAGAGCUGCUGGCUGAACCCCUGACCGAGCCGCUGCGACACACCAGGAUCCAGCCACAAGACCAGAAGCUGAAAGGACAGACAGAAGGACGGUGGAGCCACAUGCUGCAGCCAUCUCCAUCUCCCCCUGCAAGCAGGGGAGCCCAGGGGGUCCCUUGCACCCCGCUGGCAGCCUCACAGCCCCCCCGUCCCUGUGGGGACCGUGCUACAGCCGUAGCCAGCCCGUCUGGUGGAAAGGAGGUCAGCACCGAGCGGGGAGGGCUGGGACCAGACCAGCCUCUUCAGCAGCGGGCAGGGGGGCAGGAAAUGGAGCCACGGGGUCAGCGAUAUGUC
Non-coding RNA from Phalacrocorax carbo (great cormorant), 816 nucleotides. The record is from RefSeq and is a predicted model, not a curated record. Lineage: Eukaryota; Metazoa; Chordata; Aves; Suliformes; Phalacrocoracidae.